Molecule: ribosomal RNA, 510 nt
Filed under: uncultured Dermabacteraceae bacterium
Lineage: Bacteria; Bacillati; Actinomycetota; Actinomycetes; Micrococcales; Dermabacteraceae
Description: bacterial SSU rRNA
Rfam family: Bacterial small subunit ribosomal RNA
Source: RNAcentral
CGGUCCUUCGGCAGUCGUCAGAGAGUUUCGUAUCCUGGCUCAGGACUAACGCUGGCGGCGUGCUUAACACAUGCAAGUCGAACGAUGAAGGCCGUGCUUGCACGGUUGGAUUAGUGGCGAACGGGUGAGUAACACGUGAGUAACCUGCCCUCCACUUCGGGAUAACCUCGGGAAAUCGGGGCUAAUACCGGAUAUGAGCACCUACUGCAUGGUGGGUGUUGGAAAGUUUUUCGGUGGGGGAUGGACUCGCGGCCUAUCAGCUUGUUGGUGAGGUAGUGGCUCACCAAGGCGUUGACGGGUAGCCGGCCUGAGAGGGCGACCGGCCACACUGGGACUGAGACACGGCCCAGACUCCUACGGGAGGCAGCAGUGGGGAAUAUUGCACAAUGGGCGAAAGCCUGAUGCAGCGACGCCGCGUGAGGGAUGACGGCCUUCGGGUUGUAAACCUCUUUCAGCAGGGAAGAAGCGAGAGUGACGGUACCUGCAGAAGAAGCGCCGGCUAACUACGUG